UACGUAGGGUGCGAGCGUUAAUCGGAAUUACUGGGCGUAAAGCGUGCGCAGGCGGUCUGUUAAGACAGAUGUGAAAUCCCCGGGCCUAACCUGGGAACUGCAUUUGUGACUGGCAGGCUAGAGUAUGGCAGAGGGGGGUAGAAUUCCACGUGUAGCAGUGAAAUGCGUAGAGAUGUGGAGGAAUACCGAUGGCGAAGGCAGCCCCCUGGGCCAAUACUGACGCUCAUGCACGAAAGCGUGGGGAGCAAACAGG
RNAcentral lists this ribosomal RNA (253 nucleotides) under uncultured bacterium. RNAcentral's name for it is "partial 16S ribosomal RNA". It matches the Rfam family "Bacterial small subunit ribosomal RNA", at positions 524 to 776 of the family's 1533-position model. The record is from RNAcentral.